GAUGCAGCGCCGGAAGAACGGAUAACUUUGAUGUCGUUAAUUAUAAGAAAUUUUCUUCUGCAUCU
This 65-nucleotide transfer RNA is filed under the name Platynereis bicanaliculata. RNAcentral's name for it is "tRNA-Ile". Lineage: Eukaryota; Metazoa; Annelida; Polychaeta; Phyllodocida; Nereididae. The record is from RNAcentral.